RNAcentral lists this ribosomal RNA (712 nucleotides) under uncultured Bacteroidota bacterium. RNAcentral's name for it is "bacterial SSU rRNA". It matches the Rfam family "Bacterial small subunit ribosomal RNA", at positions 57 to 764 of the family's 1533-position model. Lineage: Bacteria; Pseudomonadati; Bacteroidota. The record is from RNAcentral.
GCAAGUCGAGGGGCAGCAGACUACUUCGGUGGUGCUGGCGACCGGCGAACGGGUGAGUAACGCGUUUGUAACCUACCCCUAACUGUGGCAUAGCUCCCGGAAACGGGAAUUAAUUCCACAUAAUAUUUAAACAUGGCAUCAUGUUUUCAUUAAAGCUCCGGCGGUUAGGGAUGGGCAUGCGUGACAUUAGCUUGUUGGUAAGGUAACGGCUUACCAAGGCUACGAUGUCUCGGGGGUCUGAGAGGAUGAUCCCCCACACUGGUACUGAGACACGGACCAGACUCCUACGGGAGGCAGCAGUGAGGAAUAUUGGGCAAUGGACGCAAGUCUGACCCAGCCAUGCCGCGUGCAGGAUGAAUGCCCUAUGGGUUGUAAACUGCUUUUAUACAGGAAGAAACCCUCUGACGUGUCAGAGGUUGACGGUACUGUACGAAUAAGCAUCGGCUAACUCCGUGCCAGCAGCCGCGGUAAUACGGAGGAUGCAAGCGUUAUCCGGAUUCAUUGGGUUUAAAGGGUGCGUAGGCGGGGCAAUUAGUCAGUGGUGAAAUCCUGCGGCUUAACCGUAGAACUGCCAUUGAUACUGUUGCCCUUGAGUAUAGUUGAGGUGGGCGGAAUGUGUAAUGUAGCGGUGAAAUGCAUAGAUAUUACACAGAACACCAAUUGCGAAGGCAGCUCACUAAGCUAUAACUGACGCUGAGGCACGAAAGCGUGG